Molecule: ribosomal RNA, 492 nt
Filed under: uncultured bacterium
Lineage: Bacteria
Description: partial 16S ribosomal RNA
Rfam family: Bacterial small subunit ribosomal RNA
Source: RNAcentral
AGUGAACGCUGGCGGUGUGCCUAACACAUGCAAGUCGAACGGCAGCACAGGAAGAGCGUGCUCUUACGGGUGGCGAGUGGCGGACGGGUGAGGAAUACAUCGGAAUCUACUUUUUCGUGGGUGAUAACGUAGGGAAACUUACGCUAAUACCGCAUACGACCUACGGGUGAAAGCAGGGGAUCUUCGGGCCUUGCGCGAUUGAAAUAGCCGAGGUCGGAUUAGCUAGUUGGUGUGGUAAAGGCCCACCAAGGCAACGAUCCGUAGCUGGGCUGAGAGGAUGAUCAGCCACACUGGAACUGAGACACGGUCCAGACUCCUACGGGAGGCAGCAGUGGGGAAUAUUGGACAAUGGGCGCAAGCCUGACCCAGCCAUACCGCGUGGGUGAAGAAGGCCUUCGGGUUGUAAAGCCCUUUUGUUGGGAAAGAAAAGCAGCAGGUUAAUCCAUCGCUGUUCUGACGGUACCCAAAGAAUAAGCAACGGCUAACUUCGUG